GAUGAACGCUGGCGGCGUGCCUAAUACAUGCAAGUCGAGCGAACGGACGAGAAGCUUGCUUCUCUGAUGUUAGCGGCGGACGGGUGAGUAACACGUGGAUAACCUACCUAUAAGACUGGGAUAACUUCGGGAAACCGGAGCUAAUACCGGAUGAUAUUUUGAACCGCAUGGUUCAAAGUGAAAGACCGUCUUGGUUUCACCUAUCGAUGGAUCCGCGCUGCAUUAGCUAGUUGGUAAGGUAACGGCUUACCAAGGCAACGAUGCAUAGCCGACCUGAGAGGGUGAUCGGCCACACUGGAACUGAGACACGGUCCAGACUCCUACGGGAGGCAGCAGUAGGGAAUCUUCCACAAUGGGCGAAAGCCUGACGGAGCAACGCCGCGUGAGUGAUGAAGGUAUUCGGAUCGUAAAACUCUGUUAUUAGGGAAGAACAUAUGUGUAAGUAACUGUGCACAUCUUGACGGUACCUAAUCAGAAAGCCACGGCUAACUACGUG
RNAcentral lists this ribosomal RNA (496 nucleotides) under uncultured bacterium. RNAcentral's name for it is "partial 16S ribosomal RNA". It matches the Rfam family "Bacterial small subunit ribosomal RNA", at positions 28 to 507 of the family's 1533-position model. The record is from RNAcentral.